This 253-nucleotide ribosomal RNA is filed under the name uncultured bacterium. Its description in RNAcentral is "partial 16S ribosomal RNA". It matches the Rfam family "Bacterial small subunit ribosomal RNA", at positions 524 to 776 of the family's 1533-position model. The record is from RNAcentral.
UACGUAGGAUGCAAGCGUUGUCCGGAUUUACUGGGCGUAAAGCGCGCGCAGGCGGCAAGGUAAGUAAGGUGUGAAAUAUCCCGGCUCAACCGGGAGGGUGCACUUUAGACUGCUUUGCUUGAGGUCGGUAGAGGGGGGUGGAAUUGCUGGUGUAGCGGUGAAAUGCGUAGAGAUCAGCAGGAACACCCGUGGCGAAGGCGGCCCCCUGGGCCGUACCUGACGCUGAGGCGCGAAGGCUAGGGGAGCGAACGGG